RNAcentral lists this ribosomal RNA (467 nucleotides) under uncultured bacterium. RNAcentral's name for it is "partial 16S ribosomal RNA". It matches the Rfam family "Bacterial small subunit ribosomal RNA", at positions 28 to 507 of the family's 1533-position model. The record is from RNAcentral.
GAUGAACGCUGGCGGCGUGCUUAACACAUGCAAGUCGAACGGAAAGGCCCAAGCUUGCUUGGGUACUCGAGUGGCGAACGGGUGAGUAACACGUGGGUGAUCUGCCCUGCACUUCGGGAUAAGCCUGGGAAACCGGGUCUAAUACCGGAUAGGACCACAUUUUGGAUGGUGUGGUGGAAAGUUUUUCGGUGUGGGAUGAGCUCGCGGCCUAUCAGCUUGUUGGUGGGGUAAUGGCCUACCAAGGCGUCGACGGGUAGCCGGCCUGAGAGGGUGUACGGCCACAUUGGGACUGAGAUACGGCCCAGACUCCUACGGGAGGCAGCAGUGGGGAAUAUUGCACAAUGGGCGCAAGCCUGAUGCAGCGACGCCGCGUGGGGGAUGACGGCCUUCGGGUUGUAAACUCCUUUCGCUAGGGACGAAGCGUUUUUGUGACGGUACCUGGAGAAGAAGCACCGGCUAACUACGUG